This 98-nucleotide transfer RNA is filed under the name Citrobacter sp. Cpo086. RNAcentral describes it as "tRNA-OTHER". Lineage: Bacteria; Pseudomonadati; Pseudomonadota; Gammaproteobacteria; Enterobacterales; Enterobacteriaceae. The record is from RNAcentral.
GAAAAGUUAAGUUAUUGAAAAUAUUACCAAUGAAAUCGGUCUCGAAAACCGGAGUAGGGGCAACUCUACCGGGGGUUCAAAUCCCCCGCUCUCCGCCA